CAGUAGCGGCGGGAAUACAGAGGGUGCGAGCGUUAAUCGGAUUUACUGGGCGUAAAGCGUGCGUAGGCGGCUUCUUAAGUCGGAUGUGAAAUCCCUGAGCUUAACUUAGGAAUUGCAUUCGAUACUGGGAAGCUAGAGUAUGGGAGAGGAUGGUAGAAUUCCAGGUGUAGCGGUGAAAUGCGUAGAGAUCUGGAGGAAUACCGAUGGCGAAGGCAGCCAUCUGGCCUAAUACUGACGCUGAGGUACGAAAGCAUGGGGAGCAAACAGGAUUAGAUACCCCUGUAGUCCCUGUCUCUUAUAC
This 301-nucleotide ribosomal RNA is filed under the name uncultured bacterium. Its description in RNAcentral is "partial 16S ribosomal RNA". It matches the Rfam family "Bacterial small subunit ribosomal RNA", at positions 509 to 807 of the family's 1533-position model. The record is from RNAcentral.